GAUGAACGCUGGCGGCGUGCUUAACACAUGCAAGUCGAACGGGAAUUAUUUUAUUGCAACUUCGGUCGAUUUAAUUUAAUUCUAGUGGCGGACGGGUGAGUAACGCGUGGGUAACCUGCCUUAUACAGGGGGAUAACAGUCAGAAAUGGCUGCUAAUACCGCAUAAGCGCACAGAGCUGCAUGGCUCAGUGUGAAAAACUCCGGUGGUAUAAGAUGGACCCGCGUUGGAUUAGCUGGUUGGUGGGGUAACGGCCCACCAAGGCGACGAUCCAUAGCCGGCCUGAGAGGGUGAACGGCCACAUUGGGACUGAGACACGGCCCAGACUCCUACGGGAGGCAGCAGUGGGGAAUAUUGCACAAUGGGGGAAACCCUGAUGCAGCGACGCCGCGUGAAGGAAGAAGUAUCUCGGUAUGUAAACUUCUAUCAGCAGGGAAGAUAGUGACGGUACCUGACGAAGAAGCCCCGGCUAACUACGUG
This 478-nucleotide ribosomal RNA is filed under the name uncultured bacterium. Its description in RNAcentral is "partial 16S ribosomal RNA". It matches the Rfam family "Bacterial small subunit ribosomal RNA", at positions 28 to 507 of the family's 1533-position model. The record is from RNAcentral.